Molecule: ribosomal RNA, 253 nt
Filed under: uncultured bacterium
Lineage: Bacteria
Also listed under: 1 other name
Description: partial 16S ribosomal RNA
Rfam family: Bacterial small subunit ribosomal RNA
Source: RNAcentral
UACAGAGGUCCCAAGCGUUGUUCGGAUUCACUGGGCGUAAAGGGUGCGUAGGCGGUCGGGUAAGUCUGAUGUGAAAGCUCGGAGCUCAACUCCGAAAUGGCAUCGGAUACUAUUCGGCUAGAGGAAUGGAGGGGAGACUGGAAUACUUGGUGUAGCAGUGAAAUGCGUAGAUAUCAAGUGGAACACCAGUGGCGAAGGCGAGUCUCUGGACAUUUCCUGACGCUGAGGCACGAAAGCCAGGGGAGCAAACGGG